AGAUUAAGUUAUUAAGGGCGCACGGUGGAUGCCUUGGCACUAGAAGCCGAUGAAGGACGUUACUAACGACGAUAUGCUUUGGGUAGCUGUA
RNAcentral lists this ribosomal RNA (91 nucleotides) under Listeria monocytogenes. Its description in RNAcentral is "partial 23S ribosomal RNA". It matches the Rfam family "Bacterial large subunit ribosomal RNA", at positions 1 to 90 of the family's 2925-position model. Lineage: Bacteria; Bacillati; Bacillota; Bacilli; Caryophanales; Listeriaceae. The record is from RNAcentral.